GAUUACUGGUGGCCCGGAGGCCUUUCC
RNAcentral lists this small RNA (27 nucleotides) under Bombyx mori (domestic silkworm). RNAcentral's name for it is "ovarian small RNA-16179". The record is from RNAcentral. Lineage: Eukaryota; Metazoa; Arthropoda; Insecta; Lepidoptera; Bombycidae.